RNAcentral lists this ribosomal RNA (477 nucleotides) under Triticum aestivum (bread wheat). RNAcentral describes it as "partial small subunit ribosomal RNA". Lineage: Eukaryota; Viridiplantae; Streptophyta; Magnoliopsida; Poales; Poaceae. The record is from RNAcentral.
AUGUCGUCGUUCAUGGCGGCGUCGGUGCUGGCAUGGGUGUGCCUACUGCGGAGCCGGUUCGUGGGUGUUGAAAGCGCGGCGCACAGCCACAUGCUGUUCUCGACAGAGUGCCGGUCGAGGCUGGCGCCGCCGCUCCCCGCCGAGUACUUCGGCAACUGCCUGCGCCCGUGCUUCAUGGAGGCCACGAUGGAGCUCCUGAUGACGAGCGGCGGCUGCGGUGCCAUCGGGUUGGCGAUAAGGGAGAUGGAGCGAGGCGUGCUGGAGGGCGCAGAGGCAGAGGGGUGGCUGGGGCAGGUCAUGUCGGUGCUGCCGCAGCGGCCCAUGUCGCCGAGCUCCUCAACCACAGAGCAUCUGACUGACAUCGCUCGUGUCCGUGUGUGUGCUGACAGAGUAAAUUUGACAGAUGCUCUUGUAAAUUUGACAGAGUAUGUACUCUAUGCUUUACCAAUCCGUUGUAAUUCACAAGCUGACCACAGC